ACGGGUGAGUAACACGUGGAUAACCUACCUAUAAGACUGGGAUAACUUCGGGAAACCGGAGCUAAUACCGGAUAACAUAUUGAACCGCAUGGUUCAAUAGUGAAAGGCGGCUUUGCUGUCACUUAUAGAUGGAUCCGCGCCGUAUUAGCUAGUUGGUAAGGUAACGGCUUACCAAGGCAACGAUACGUAGCCGACCUGAGAGGGUGAUCGGCCACACUGGAACUGAGACACGGUCCAGACUCCUACGGGAGGCAGCAGUAGGGAAUCUUCCGCAAUGGGCGAAAGCCUGACGGAGCAACGCCGCGUGAGUGAUGAAGGUCUUCGGAUCGUAAAACUCUGUUAUCAGGGAAGAACAAAUGUGUAUGUAACUGUGCACAUCUUGACGGUACCUGAUCAGAAAGCCACGGCUAACUACGUGCCAGCAGCCGCGGUAAUACGUAGGUGGCAAGCGUUAUCCGGAAUUAUUGGGCGUAAAGCGCGCGUAGGCGGUUUUUUAAGUCUGAUGUGAAAGCCCACGGCUCAACCGUGGAGGGUCAUUGGAAACUGGAAAACUUGAGUGCAGAAGAGGAAAGUGGAAUUCC
RNAcentral lists this ribosomal RNA (581 nucleotides) under uncultured bacterium. Its description in RNAcentral is "bacterial SSU rRNA". It matches the Rfam family "Bacterial small subunit ribosomal RNA", at positions 102 to 670 of the family's 1533-position model. The record is from RNAcentral.